CAGACCGUAAACGAUGCCAUCUGGCGAUCCAUGGGUGUUAUAUAUGACUCCAUGGGCAGCCACCGGGAAACCUUUAAGUUGGGUUCCGGGGGAAGUAUGGUUGCAAAGCUGAAACUUAAAGGAAUUGACGGAAGGGCACCACCAGGAGUGGAGCCUGCGGCUUAAUUUGACUCAACACGGGGAAACUCACCCGGCCCGGACACUGUAAGGAUUGACAGAUUGAUAGCUCUUUCUUGAUUCGGUGGGUGGUGGUGCAUGGCCGUUCUUAGUUGGUGGAGCGAUUUGUCUGGUUUAUUCCGAUAACGAACGAGACUCUAGCCUACUAAAUAGACAACACUUUCUUUGAGUGUUGCGCUUCUUAGAGGGACAAGCGACGUUUAGUCGCACGAGAUUGAGCAAUAACAGGUCUGUGAUGCCCUUAGAUGUUCGGGGCUGCACGCGCGCUACACUGAAAGCAUCAACAUGCAUAUCAACCUACCUCGGAAGAGGCGGGUAACCCUUUGAAACGCUUUCGUGAUUGGGGAAUUGUGAAUUGCAAUUAUUUUCACAUGAAACGAGGAAUUCCCAGUAAGUCCCGAAAGUCAUCAGCUCGGGUUG
Molecule: ribosomal RNA, 597 nt
Filed under: Paratrichodorus sp. st5_7
Lineage: Eukaryota; Metazoa; Nematoda; Enoplea; Triplonchida; Trichodoridae
Description: SSU rRNA
Rfam family: Eukaryotic small subunit ribosomal RNA
Source: RNAcentral